Molecule: transfer RNA, 93 nt
Filed under: Bacilli bacterium
Lineage: Bacteria; Bacillati; Bacillota; Bacilli
Description: tRNA-Ser
Rfam family: tRNA
About the family: Transfer RNA (tRNA) molecules are approximately 80 nucleotides in length. Their secondary structure includes four short double-helical elements and three loops (D, anti-codon, and T loops).
Source: RNAcentral
GGAUGCUUACCCAAGUCCGGUUGAAGGGAUCGGUCUUGAAAACCGAAAGGGGAUGAAAGUCUCGCGGGGGUUCGAAUCCCUCAGCAUCCGCCA